AGCACCCACAACGACUGGCAAACCACAAGUGAAACAUAAGCACCAUAUAUACAUAGGGAAGAUUAGCUUAACGAGUUAACAAGGGGUCGUGGUAAAUGGGAAACACCUGGGGAGACUAAUCAACAUGAAAAACUACAAAUAUCUACAAAACAUGGUGCAAGACAGGAAACAACAAAAGAGUCUACAAACAUACAUGGCAUACAUGACACAAGCAACUUCUUCCGGGAGGUUUGUGUGUCUCUGGACUCUUCAGCAUAUCAGUGAUAAACAUUAAAACAUGCAAAGGCCUGUGAAACAGACUGAGAAUCUGGCUGAGGCAAAUGCAACAGAGCAGGACAAAAUCAAAGUCCAGUCUGUGCUAUUAUUCCAGCAGGCCUAUGCUAUUGGGAAGACACCGCCCUUCUCGACCCAGAAUGAGCCUUGGUCCUAUCCUCAUCAGAUCCAGUGCCUGAUGCGCUGCUGUGUCUGAUCUGUAAGGAUCUGCUGACUGAUGCUGUGAUGAUUCCCUGCUGCAGGAGCAGCUACUGUGAUGAAUGUAUCAGAACAUGUUUGCUGGAGUCUGAUGAACAUGUUUGUCCCACCUGCAGACACUCAGAUGUUUUUCUUUGACAACAAACACAGUUUUGCAACAAAAGGUGAAUCAUAUUAAGAAUGGAACCAAAUCUUUGUGCUUCUACACAAGUCCAAAUCACAGCCGUUGAUCCCGGUCACCUACGAUGUUCUGACAUAAAACCCGGAAGCUGUCUAUGUAACAUAAACUGUGUAGGAGACUGAUAGGGAAGAGAAGAAAUUGUUAAAUAAAGUCGUUAUUUUUGUUUUGUUUUGUGCACAAAAAGUAUUCUCGUCACUUCAUAACAUUAAGGUAGUACUGCACCACUGUAGUCACGUUGACUAUUUUAAUGAUGUCUUUACUACUUUUCUGGACCUUGAAUAUGGCAAUUACGUUACUUUCUAUGGGGCAUAAAUAACCUCUUGGAUUUCAUCAAAAAUAUCUUAAUUUGUGUUUCGAAGAUGAAUGAAGGUCUUACGGAUUUGGAUCGACAUGAGGGUGAGUAAUUAAUGACAGAAAUGUAAAUUUUGGGUGAAUUUAAGGGAUUUUCUGGAACGUCAAAAGUAAUUACUUCUAUUAGUCUAUUUUGUACUUUCUGCACAAGGGCGCCCUCUGGCUUCGAGUGUAAAUGAAACCUACAUUACAUGUUUAGCGCUCCACAUACUUGCUUACUUUGCAUCGUUUUGAAUAAGAAUAAAACAUCAAAUUAAAAUGUCAAAUCAAGAUUUAUUUGCAUUGGCACAUGAAAACCUAUGAAAAAAAGCAUGGGGGACGAAUUUACGUUUUACUUUGGAGCUCCGCGUAUCCAUGUGUUUGAGGAUAGCUGAGUGAGCAGAGCACAUGGUUUUGGGGUCACUUGUGUUUGGACCCAGAGCGAUGCGUUUGUGUGAAAAAAUAAAUAAAUAAAAAUCCAU
Megalobrama amblycephala (Wuchang bream) is the source of this 1464-nucleotide long non-coding RNA. RefSeq lists it as uncharacterized. The transcript is spliced from 4 exons. The record is from RefSeq and is a predicted model, not a curated record. NCBI's taxonomy places the organism in Eukaryota, Metazoa, Chordata, Actinopteri, Cypriniformes, Xenocyprididae.